This 197-nucleotide ribosomal RNA is filed under the name Ixodes scapularis (black-legged tick). RNAcentral describes it as "Eukaryotic small subunit ribosomal RNA". It matches the Rfam family "Eukaryotic small subunit ribosomal RNA", at positions 1259 to 1476 of the family's 1831-position model. Lineage: Eukaryota; Metazoa; Arthropoda; Arachnida; Ixodida; Ixodidae. The record is from Rfam by way of RNAcentral.
AUAUAUAUAUAUAUAGUGGAUGGUGGAUGGUUGUUCUUAGUUGGUGGAGCGAUUUGUCUGGUUAAUUCCGAUAACGAACGAGACUCUAGCCUAUUAAAAAGGUGCGUGGUUCUCCGUUGCUUGAAUCCUUCUUAGAGGGACAAACGGCUCCUAGCCGCACGAAACGGAACGAUAAUAGGUCUGCGAUGCCCUUAGGU